This 375-nucleotide transfer-messenger RNA is filed under the name Schleiferilactobacillus perolens. RNAcentral's name for it is "Standard tmRNA". It matches the Rfam family "transfer-messenger RNA". Rfam says of the family: Bacterial tmRNA, also known as 10Sa RNA or SsrA, is named for its dual tRNA and mRNA-like properties. Its role is to liberate the mRNA from a stalled ribosome. Lineage: Bacteria; Bacillati; Bacillota; Bacilli; Lactobacillales; Lactobacillaceae. The record is from RNAcentral. RNAcentral also lists the same sequence under 1 other name.
GGGGGUGUUACGGAUUCGACAUGCGUAGGUGAGUGUGAGUUGCAUUCCGCAGGAGACGUCUGCGUCAUCACCGUCACAGUUAAUAUAACUGCAAAAGAUCAAAAUUCUUACGCUUUAGCUGCCUAAUCACAGCUUACUAGCGUGAUCCUUCAUCGCCGUGACCCGGGCGGUGGUCAAGGGUCUCAAAAAAUCACCGGGUUACGAUUCAGCGCUACACCUGGGUGCUGAAUAAGAGACUUACAGGCAUGUCUGUGCGUGCCAGCCUUGAUUAGCGGCGUUUCGUGCAGACGAGAUUAAUAAGUUGUUAAUCUAUGAAUGUAGAGAUUUGCAUGGCAAUGCGUAUGGACACGGGUUCAACUCCCGUCACCUCCAUAA